UGACCGCUGGCGGUAGGCCUAACACAUGCAAGUCGACCGGCAGCACAGUAAGAGCUUGCUCUUACGGGUGGCGAGUGGCGGACGGGUGAGGAAUACAUCGAAAUCUACUUUUUCGUGGGGGAUAACGUAGGGAAACUUACGCUAAUACCGCAUACGACCUACGGGUGAAAGCAGGGGAUCUUCGGACCUUGCGCGAUUGAAUGAGCCGAUGUCGGAUUAGCUAGUUGGCGGGGUAAAGGCCCACCAAGGCGACGAUCCGUAGCUGGUCUGAGAGGAUGAUCAGCCACACUGGAACUGAGACACGGUCCAGACUCCUACGGGAGGCAGCAGUGGGGAAUAUUGGACAAUGGGCGCAAGCCUGAUCCAGCCAUACCGCGUGGGUGAAGAAGGCCUUCGGGUUGUAAAGCCCUUUUGUUGGGAAAGAAAAGCAGCAGGUUAAUACCCCGCUGUUCUGACGGUACCCAAAGAAUAAGCACCGGCUAACUUCGUG
Molecule: ribosomal RNA, 490 nt
Filed under: uncultured bacterium
Lineage: Bacteria
Description: partial 16S ribosomal RNA
Rfam family: Bacterial small subunit ribosomal RNA
Source: RNAcentral